This 334-nucleotide unclassified non-coding RNA is filed under the name soil metagenome. RNAcentral describes it as "partial contains 5.8S ribosomal RNA, internal transcribed spacer 2, and large subunit ribosomal RNA". The stretch from base 1 to 120 matches the Rfam family "5.8S ribosomal RNA", at positions 35 to 154 of the family's 154-position model. The record is from RNAcentral.
GAUGAAGAACGCAGCAAAAUGCGAUAAGUAAUGUGAAUUGCAGAAUUCAGUGAAUCAUCGAAUCUUUGAACGCACAUUGCGCCCGCCAGUAUUCUGGCGGGCAUGCCUGUUCGAGCGUCAUUUCAACCCUCAAGCACAGCUUGGUGUUGGGACUCGCGUUAAUUCGCGUUCCCCAAAUUGAUUGGCGGUCACGUCGAGCUUCCAUAGCGUAGUAGUAAAACCCUCGUUACUGGUAAUCGUCGCGGCCACGCCGUUAAACCCCCAACUUCUGAACGUUUGACCUCGGAUCAGGUAGGAAUACCCGCUGAACUUAAGCAUAUCAAUAAGCGGAGGA